Molecule: non-coding RNA, 363 nt
Organism: Camellia sinensis
Lineage: Eukaryota; Viridiplantae; Streptophyta; Magnoliopsida; Ericales; Theaceae
Source: RefSeq, a predicted model, not a curated record
UAAUUCUGUUUGGCUCAACUAUCCACUCAUCUCUCUCCUUACUCCUCUUCUCUUAAUCAUUCCUUCACUCUCUCUUAGCGGCGACAAGAUCCCAUGGAGGCGAGGAGAACCCAGUAGCAGCGGCGCCAGUGAAGGGAGGAACUCCACCCCCAUAAAAUUCGAUUUUCUCUCUCUACAUCAGGUUAAUAAUCUAAACCUUGGUCAGAACUCCACGUACAUCUUCAAAUUCAAAACAUCUUAGAGACAAAUGAAAGAUUGUUGUUAAUGACUUAACUCUUGAUGAUGUGAACUUUUGUGUUUAAACUUUGUUGUUGGUGAACCUUUGGUUUUUGAGCUUUGUAUAAUUGAUGUUGAAGCUGUGAA